UUUGAGACAACACAUUAAUUAAACAGGUCCAGUAUGUUCAUCAAAACAAAAAAGUUUAUUUAUAAUCAUAUUAUAUAUUUAUGUUUAUGUACAUGUGUACAUAUAAUAUAUAGCUACAAACCCUAAAUGUACGUUAGUUACGUGACGAUUGAAGAGCCUCUCUCACAAAAGGUCAUAGACGACAGUUAUGUGUUGUUUUCAAGCUGAAUCCUCAAUCUGGCAAUCUCCAAACACUUCUUGUCAGCAUUGAUUUGGAUAUAGUACCACACUGUUUCCUAUUAUGCCAUCAUCAAAUAGAUUAAUGUUCCUUAUAACCCUUCUCAUCCAUCACUAUCUCUUGACCACUUUGCUUGCUAUGGUCGGUUAGUGGAUAAGGUAUAAAUCUAACACAAUUUCUAUGUGGGUUUUUCCUUGAUUAGGUAUAGACUCUAUAUGCACUAUAUAUAUUUAUGUGAGAAUUAAAAUUUAUAGAUAGAUAUAUGGCCCUAUAUAUAUAGCUACAAAGCGUAUGGUAC
This 515-nucleotide long non-coding RNA is filed under the name Medicago truncatula (barrel medic). Its description in RNAcentral is "long non-coding RNA (MTRU_LNC007717)". The record is from RNAcentral. Lineage: Eukaryota; Viridiplantae; Streptophyta; Magnoliopsida; Fabales; Fabaceae.